UACGUAGGGGGCAAGCGUUGUUCGGAUUUACUGGGCGUAAAGCGUGCGUAGGUGGUGAGUUAAGUCUGAUGUGAAAUCCCCGGGCUCAACCUGGGAAUGGCAUUGGAUACUGGCUCGCUAGAGUGCGGUAGAGGGUGGGUGGAAUUCCCGGUGUAGCAGUGAAAUGCGUAGAGAUCGGGAGGAACAUCUGUGGCGAAGGCGGCCACCUGGACCAACACUGACACUGAGGCACGAAAGCGUGGGGAGCAAACAGGG
This 255-nucleotide ribosomal RNA is filed under the name uncultured bacterium. RNAcentral describes it as "partial 16S ribosomal RNA". It matches the Rfam family "Bacterial small subunit ribosomal RNA", at positions 524 to 777 of the family's 1533-position model. The record is from RNAcentral.